RNAcentral lists this ribosomal RNA (1530 nucleotides) under Escherichia coli HVH 90 (4-3191362). Its description in RNAcentral is "bacterial SSU rRNA". It matches the Rfam family "Bacterial small subunit ribosomal RNA". The record is from RNAcentral. Lineage: Bacteria; Pseudomonadati; Pseudomonadota; Gammaproteobacteria; Enterobacterales; Enterobacteriaceae.
AGAGUUUGAUCAUGGCUCAGAUUGAACGCUGGCGGCAGGCCUAACACAUGCAAGUCGAACGGUAACAGGAAACAGCUUGCUGUUUCGCUGACGAGUGGCGGACGGGUGAGUAAUGUCUGGGAAACUGCCCGAUGGAGGGGGAUAACUACUGGAAACGGUAGCUAAUACCGCAUAACGUCGCAAGACCAAAGAGGGGGACCUUCGGGCCUCUUGCCAUCGGAUGUGCCCAGAUGGGAUUAGCUAGUAGGUGGGGUAACGGCUCACCUAGGCGACGAUCCCUAGCUGGUCUGAGAGGAUGACCAGCCACACUGGAACUGAGACACGGUCCAGACUCCUACGGGAGGCAGCAGUGGGGAAUAUUGCACAAUGGGCGCAAGCCUGAUGCAGCCAUGCCGCGUGUAUGAAGAAGGCCUUCGGGUUGUAAAGUACUUUCAGCGGGGAGGAAGGGAGUAAAGUUAAUACCUUUGCUCAUUGACGUUACCCACAGAAGAAGCACCGGCUAACUCCGUGCCAGCAGCCGCGGUAAUACGGAGGGUGCAAGCGUUAAUCGGAAUUACUGGGCGUAAAGCGCACGCAGGCGGUUUGUUAAGUCAGAUGUGAAAUCCCCGGGCUCAACCUGGGAACUGCAUCUGAUACUGGCAAGCUUGAGUCUCGUAGAGGGGGGUAGAAUUCCAGGUGUAGCGGUGAAAUGCGUAGAGAUCUGGAGGAAUACCGGUGGCGAAGGCGGCCCCCUGGACGAAGACUGACGCUCAGGUGCGAAAGCGUGGGGAGCAAACAGGAUUAGAUACCCUGGUAGUCCACGCCGUAAACGAUGUCGACUUGGAGGUUGUGCCCUUGAGGCGUGGCUUCCGGAGCUAACGCGUUAAGUCGACCGCCUGGGGAGUACGGCCGCAAGGUUAAAACUCAAAUGAAUUGACGGGGGCCCGCACAAGCGGUGGAGCAUGUGGUUUAAUUCGAUGCAACGCGAAGAACCUUACCUGGUCUUGACAUCCACGGAAGUUUUCAGAGAUGAGAAUGUGCCUUCGGGAACCGUGAGACAGGUGCUGCAUGGCUGUCGUCAGCUCGUGUUGUGAAAUGUUGGGUUAAGUCCCGCAACGAGCGCAACCCUUAUCCUUUGUUGCCAGCGGUCCGGCCGGGAACUCAAAGGAGACUGCCAGUGAUAAACUGGAGGAAGGUGGGGAUGACGUCAAGUCAUCAUGGCCCUUACGACCAGGGCUACACACGUGCUACAAUGGCGCAUACAAAGAGAAGCGACCUCGCGAGAGCAAGCGGACCUCAUAAAGUGCGUCGUAGUCCGGAUUGGAGUCUGCAACUCGACUCCAUGAAGUCGGAAUCGCUAGUAAUCGUGGAUCAGAAUGCCACGGUGAAUACGUUCCCGGGCCUUGUACACACCGCCCGUCACACCAUGGGAGUGGGUUGCAAAAGAAGUAGGUAGCUUAACCUUCGGGAGGGCGCUUACCACUUUGUGAUUCAUGACUGGGGUGAAGUCGUAACAAGGUAACCGUAGGGGAACCUGCGGUUGGAUCACCU